Molecule: ribosomal RNA, 253 nt
Filed under: uncultured bacterium
Lineage: Bacteria
Description: partial 16S ribosomal RNA
Rfam family: Bacterial small subunit ribosomal RNA
Source: RNAcentral
UACGUAGGUGGCAAGCGUUGUCCGGAAUUAUUGGGCGUAAAGCGCGCGCAGGCGGUCCUUUAAGUCUGAUGUGAAAGCCCACGGCUCAACCGUGGAGGGUCAUUGGAAACUGGGGGACUUGAGUGCAGGAGAGAAGAGUGGAAUUCCACGUGUAGCGGUGAAAUGCGUAGAGAUGUGGAGGAACACCAGUGGCGAAGGCGACUCUUUGGCCUGUAACUGACACUGAGGCGCGAAAGCUAGGGGAGCAAACAGG